AUGGAUGCGAGAGUACAGAGCACUGAUCCCCACUCUCACCAGUCAGGCGCCUCUCCAAGAAGUGGCAAAACUCACCUGAAAAAAGGGAAACACAGCCCCAGACUGCUGCACCCGCCCCUGCUCUUCUGCUGGAAAUGGAAAAACAGACACAGAUCUGGGAGGAGCGGCAGGUCGGGAGGGCGAUUCUGGGGCAGCACUGACAUUGGGACUUACAAACCACAAAGAAGCGAGGGAGCCUCUGUGGUUCCACAGUGCAGCCUGCUGCAUCUCAGGGUGUCAAAGUGCCCCAGCAGCUGUGGACAGGAAGCUAGCGGGCUCCAGAAGAUAGGACAGUCUCCAAGACUCAAGAAUGAGGCUGGGGCCAAACUGUCCCCCACCUUCCUGUCCAAUGUCAGGCCACCGUUUUCCUAUUUGGCCUUCCCCAGCAGACUUCUCCUUCAGUCUUCAGCCCUUCUGGAAUGUUCCAUCCUCACCAUGUGCUGUGGUCUGCAUGGAAGCAGAAAACAUGGCUCCGAGCAGAGCCCAUGGUCCAUUCCCUUUGUGCUGAGGCUCCUCACAGACUCGGAUGUGUGUGGUUUGUGGGACCGACUUCCACCUGCUGCUUCCCCCUGCUCUUGGUGGGGAGCUUCCUCUAUUUCCCAUGGCACAGAGCCAGUGAGGCCUCCUCCCACUUCCCUCUCUGUGGUUCUGCGCUGCCAGGCUGGGAUCUUCCAUUCCUCAGGCUGUGCAAAGUCUGCUCUCAGUGGGGAGCUGCUGAGACCUCUCCCGGCCUCCUGCUGGCCUGAUGGUCCCUCUUACAGACCGCAGCCUGGCUCCAGCACUUGCCGGCCAUGCGGAGAUGUCCGCAUUUGCAAAAGUGAUAGCCCACAGCGUAUUUUAAAGACAACUCGCUGUGUCUUAGCAUCCAGCCACAGAAGAAGGAAAAAACGAGAUUCCCCCACAGCAAACAAGGCUAUGGUUGCGGUCCACAUUUUGGUUGCAAAUCUUAGCGAGACCUUAGGAUAUUUGGGAGAUGACCUCAUUGUAGGAAGUGGCAAAGUGCCACCUUUCUAG
Molecule: long non-coding RNA, 1053 nt
Filed under: Oryctolagus cuniculus (rabbit)
Lineage: Eukaryota; Metazoa; Chordata; Mammalia; Lagomorpha; Leporidae
Description: lncRNA (ENSOCUG00000033443.1)
Source: RNAcentral